AUUGAACGCUGGCGGCAGGCCUAACACAUGCAAGUCGAGCGGAUGAAGGGAGCUUGCUCCUGGAUUCAGCGGCGGACGGGUGAGUAAUUCCUAGGAAUCUGCCUGGUAGUUGGGGAUAACGUCCGGAAACGGGCGCUAAUACCGCAUACGUCCUGAGGGUGAAAGUGGUGGAUCUUCGGACCUCACGCUAUCAGAUGAGCCUAGGCCGGAUUAGCUAGUUGGUGAGGUAAAGGCCUACCAAGGCGACGAUCCGUAACUGGUCUGAGAGGAUGAUCAGCCACACUGGAACUGAGACACGGUCCAGACUCCUACGGGAGGCAGCAGUAGGGAAUCUUGCACAAUGGGCGAAAGCCUGACGGAGCAACGCCGCGUGAGUGAUGAAGGUCUUCGGAUCGUAAAGCACUGUUAGUAGGGAAGAAGAGAUGUGUAAGAAACCCUGCCUAUCUUGACGGUACCUAAACAGAAAGCCACGGCUAACUACGUG
This 484-nucleotide ribosomal RNA is filed under the name uncultured bacterium. Its description in RNAcentral is "partial 16S ribosomal RNA". It matches the Rfam family "Bacterial small subunit ribosomal RNA", at positions 30 to 507 of the family's 1533-position model. The record is from RNAcentral.